RNAcentral lists this long non-coding RNA (2010 nucleotides) under Zostera marina. Its description in RNAcentral is "long non-coding RNA (ZMAR_LNC000382)". Lineage: Eukaryota; Viridiplantae; Streptophyta; Magnoliopsida; Alismatales; Zosteraceae. The record is from RNAcentral.
UUAUAUAUUUACUGCAAAUACAAUACAAUGUUAUUUUUUAUCAAAAUAAAUAAAUACAAUGUUAUUUAUUUAUUUAUCAUUAAUCCUUAUAUGGUCACUUUCAUUGGAGCAGCAAGAAUCCGUUUCGCUGCAGGAGCAGUUACAAUCCUUAUUGAGGGAGAACCAGAUUCUGAAAAGGGCCGUUGCAAUCCAACACGAGCGUAGUGUCGAAUAUGAGGAGAAAUUGAAAGAAGCAGAUCAGUUGAAACAUAUGAUUGGACAAUACCAACAACAAGUACAGACGUUGGAAGUAAGCAUACCAUAAUUUUACACUUACUUUUAUAUUAUUUUUAUUUUUAUGCUUAAUAAAUAUGGUAAUGUCAAAUACAUAUAGGUAAAAUUUGGAAAACCAGAAAAAGUAAAAAAUUAAUUGCUUAUAAAUUGUAAUUAUUUCAUGUAGUAAAGAAGCUUUCUUGCAUGUAACGUUGAUUAAUCCAAGGCAAUGCAAGAUUUUACCCUUCACGAAUUGGAGGGAUCUGUAUCAAAUCAUCCUAACUGUUUACUAAAAUUAGAAGAAACUUGAUGGAAGGGAAUUGCACAUCACAAUUUUUUUGUUCCCAUCUCAAAAUAGGGAUGUGAGAUUCCCAAUUUUAGGUUAGCAAUUGAUGUUUUUUCUUCUUAUUAGGUUUUACUACAUUUUUGCAUACAAAUUUCCUCUUUUUUUUAUGCAAUGCAUAUAACUUAAAGGAUUUUUGUAUGCAAACAUCACGAUAUCAGGGUAUUUUUGUAUGCAAAAACCAUGAUAUUUUUGACUUAAAAGAUUCUGGGCAAUAUGCAUUAAAAAUAUUUAUAAUCUAUCAAAGUUUAAACACUAGAACAUUUCUCUAAGAUUAUACAUUAUUUUCAUAAUUGACGUGUUGAUUAGGGGUGGGCAUGGGUCAGAUUUGGUUCGGGUUAGCUCUGACUCGAACCUGAGUUAUUAAUUCGGGUUCGGGUGAAAUUUUUAAAAAUAAAAAAUAAUUAAAAUAUUGCAAAAAAUCCUAUAACUUUAAUAAUCUAUAUAAUUUUGUGAAAAAAAUACCUAUAAUUUCUAUAAUCCCUUUAAAUAACCUCAAAAUAUAUAAUAAUUUUUAAAUAAAAAAAGAAAAAAAGUGAAAUAAUCCAUCUACUCAUACUUUUCAAGCAAUCAAAAAUCCAACAACAAAUAAAUUAAAUUAUAAAAUAUAAAAACUUAUAAUAUUAUUAUAAUUUACAAAGAUAUGUUAUAAACAUAGGAUAUUUUAUAAUUUUUUUUUAUAAAUUUAGUCAGGUUUGGUUCGGGUGGAAUAAUAUAUCCGUAAACGACCUCUUCGGGUUCGGGUCAAGCUUCACCCGACCCAUUCCCACCCCUAGUGUUGAUCCUUAAAUCAAUAAUAUUUCUAAUAAAUAGGAUAUAAAAUAUCCAAAAUCUAUAAAUUAAUCAUUAAAAACGUCUCAAAUAUAUUAAAUACUGAUCACUGAUCAAUCAAUAAAAAAACAAUACCCAAAUAGAAUGACUUUGACCGGAGAUGUCCAUACCAGGAUCGAGCUCGCCACCAUAUGGAGAGAGGUCCAAGGGAGAAUCAAAAUUGAAAGUUCUCCAACGGUUCAAUUUUUAAUCUAUUAGAUGGAGAUAUAGGUUAUUCCAGGUCACGAAGUCUAUUUGUGAUAGACUGAUAGUGAUCACAGACUCGCAGUAUUAUUGUUUUGAUUAUACUUUUAUAGCUUACGUGUUAAAAUAGCUUUUGUGUGGGUUUAUUAGAGCUUAUAUUUUUUACACCAUUUUCCAUAAACAGAAUUGAUGAUUUACAUUUACUGCCAAAAUAAUUGAUUUGAGUAAUAGGGUUAUGUCUAGUCAUUGAUGAAACUCUUUUUGAUUUAUGUGUUCAGCUUUCUUUAUCGAGUAUAUUAUUGGUUAGGAUUUUUUUAAUACAUUCAAAACACACCUUAAAUUUCAAGACUUAGAAGAAUGAAAUAUUAUAUUCACUUUCUUAACUCCAAUUUAUUUGUAGC